GGACGGGUGGCCGAGUCCGGUUGAUGGCGCCAGUCUUGAAAACUGGUACAGGUGCAAGCCUGUCCUGGGUUCAAAUCCCAGCCCGUCCGCCA
This 92-nucleotide transfer RNA is filed under the name Chloroflexota bacterium. RNAcentral's name for it is "Chloroflexi bacterium tRNA-Ser". It matches the Rfam family "tRNA". Rfam says of the family: Transfer RNA (tRNA) molecules are approximately 80 nucleotides in length. Their secondary structure includes four short double-helical elements and three loops (D, anti-codon, and T loops). Further hydrogen bonds mediate the characteristic L-shaped molecular structure. tRNAs have two regions of fundamental functional importance: the anti-codon, which is responsible for specific mRNA codon recognition, and the 3' end, to which the tRNAs corresponding amino acid is attached (by aminoacyl-tRNA synthetases). tRNAs cope with the degeneracy of the genetic code in two manners: having more than one tRNA (with a specific anti-codon) for a particular amino acid; and 'wobble' base-pairing, i.e. permitting non-standard base-pairing at the 3rd anti-codon position. Lineage: Bacteria; Bacillati; Chloroflexota. RNAcentral also lists the same sequence under 3 other names. The record is from RNAcentral.